RNAcentral lists this small RNA (368 nucleotides) under uncultured Glomeromycotina. RNAcentral describes it as "eukaryotic LSU rRNA". Lineage: Eukaryota; Fungi; Glomeromycota. The record is from RNAcentral.
AGAGUUAAACAGUACGUGAAAUUGUUGAAAGGGAAACGAUUGAGGCCAGUCGUGCCGGCGAGAAAUCAAUUAGUUUUAGCGGUUCCAUGUGGGCAGCUAAUGCUGGUGCACUUUUUCGUUGGCUGGUUAGCAUCAGUUUUGUUUGUUGUAAAAUGGUGGUUGGAAUGUGACUCUUUCGGGAGUGUUAUAGCCAAUCGCAGAUGCAACGAAUGGGGCUGAGGAUUGCGGCAAAUGCCUUUUGGGUACUUGCCUGUUCUCUGAAAGGCUUACGAGUGAAUGACAGCGUGCUGAUGUUUGCUUUUGAGUCCUCAACGGGGUAGAGCAGGUUAAAUUUGCCAAGGAUGCUGACAUAAUGGUCUUAAACGACC